This 538-nucleotide long non-coding RNA is filed under the name Marmota monax (woodchuck). The record is from RNAcentral. Lineage: Eukaryota; Metazoa; Chordata; Mammalia; Rodentia; Sciuridae.
UUGAAUACCACUUUGGUCAGUGUUAAGUAUCAAGUAUUCAUUGUCUUUGAAGUUGAUUAUGCUCUUUUCCAGUCCUAUUCAUAAGGCCUGGAAUGACAUUGCUCUUCCUUCCUAGCUAGUCAAAUUCUGAAGCGCAUGGUGUAAGAUUGAUUUCCCUCAGCACAUCUUGCACACAGUGAGCAUGCAUAUUCUCUUCAUUUUUUUACUCUUUGAGGUAUGGGACAAUGUUUGUCAAAGUGCUUCCACAGUACACUAGUUUUAGGAAAUAAGUUUUUGGAAGAAAGUUCCGUAUUUCAUCACAUAAUUGUCACAACCACAUUAAUGUAUAUUCCUGAGUGUUCCAAGUAUCCUGCCCUUGCACCAGUUUAGUAAUAAAUGUAUUUUAAGUAACACUGGCACAGUUUUUAAAGAGCCUCACAUAAUAGUAACCACUUUUUCAUAAAAAAUUGGCAUAAAAUCUGGAACAAUUAUGUGGUGAAAUAUGGUACCAUAAUUGCAUAUAUUUGGGAAUGGGAAAAAUGGGAAAAACUGAUCAUAC